Molecule: ribosomal RNA, 250 nt
Filed under: uncultured bacterium
Lineage: Bacteria
Description: partial 16S ribosomal RNA
Rfam family: Bacterial small subunit ribosomal RNA
Source: RNAcentral
UACGAAGGGUGCAAGCGUUACUCGGAAUUACUGGGCGUAAAGCGUGCGUAGGUGGUGAUUUAAGUCCGUUGUGAAAGCCCUGGGCUCAACCUGGGAAUUGCAGUGGAUACUGGGUCACUAGAAUGUGGUAGAGGGUAGCGGAAUUCCUGGUGUAGCAGUGAAAUGCGUAGAGAUCAGGAGGAACAUCCGUGGCGAAGGCGGCUACCUGGACCAACAUUGACACUGAGGCACGAAAGCGUGGGGAGCAAAC